UUGUUUUUUUUUUUUGGUAUUGCAUCACCUAAACAUAACUAUAAAUAUCUCCUAAUUAGGUAAGGCUUAAAGAAAUGAUUACUAUUUCUGGGUUGCAUCUGAAUUCAAUUUGUUGGCCAAGGGACCAAAGAUGAGGUAUAAUUUGUUUUCACCACGGAGCCUGGACUGAUCUAAAGACCAAUUUAUAUGAGUUUGAUAGUCCAAAAUUGGUUUUAAGAGAAGAAAUUCGUAGGUGAAAAGAAGCAAUACUAUUAAUUUUCGUUUAAUCGUUGCACAUAUUUUAAAAGAAAAGAUGGUUUAAGCCACUAACAUAUUCCAUAUUAAUUAAAACCCAAAACUAAUUCCUCAACAAUAGAUAACUAUUAACAUAAAACUAAUGCACAUAUCCAAACAUUAAGUACCUGGAGAUUGGUAUCAAUCAGAACAACGAUUAUACAACUCCAUUUCCAAAACAAGCAGUUACCCCUUUUAAUUAAUACAAUUUGAUUCCUAGAAGCUCAAAUGAUGAGCUAAAGAUCAGAAACAAAUCUUCAUCACAUGCUGGAGCAUAUGCAUAUAAACAUGAGAAUAGCUUAAACAACAGUCCAUGCAUACAGAAUUCUCAAAUGUCCUACUCCUUCAACUGUCAGACCUCAUGUUUUUCAUCUAAACAAAAUGCAACAUGAAUUUCCUAGAAAGCUUUUACACUACUACAUCAAAACGAACAAGCAGGACUGAGUAGUAUUGCACUUCAAAAUUCUAAGUGAAUAAUCAACAUUCAUGAUUAAAAAAACAGUAUUCAUUUAUAAAAUUUUCACGCCAUUACAGCUUCCACACUUGCGCUUCACAUAUAAUAGAUCCAAGGCAUACAUGGAUUCAAUCUGAUUCUAAUUUGUAGUGCAUCACUUCCUAACAGUGCUUUGAAGGAAAAUACUUGGGAAUGGAAAGGCAAAGGGACAGGGUCAGAAUCAGCAAUAUCAAAGGCAGAAAUCAGCACCAGCAACCAGAACAACCCAGAUUCAACCAAAAUCAGUAAUGAAUUCAAUCAACUAACUAAACUCAGAGCAAUAGCCAAGAGGACUGUUGUUAAGAAAAAAAACAUCAAUGUUUUUGGCCAAACUUUCAAUGGAACAGUAAUUUCUCCUCAAUUUUCGGCUAUUUUUGAAUUUUCAGAUUUUUUCUGUCACUUAGCUCUUGUAUUUUUGUCCCCCUUCAGAACCCCCUUUAUCUUUUUCUUUCAUUUACUUUUAUAGACUGAAUAUUAGGGCAAUCUUCAGAAUUUGUUUUUUCCCCAUAGCACCUCAUUUUAUGACUUGGUGACCAAGUUUAUUACCAAAAACCUUGAAUUCCAAUUUGAACAUCUACACUAGAAGCUUCCUAGGUAGUUAUCACAAUAUUCUCUGCCCUAAACUUCCAAAACUGCCCUUAAUUCAACUUCUAAAUUACUAACCUAGUUAAACCUAACUACAUCCCCUUUUUACUCUAGUCAAAUAAACCUAGUUACUUUUCCAAGGCUAGAAUCAUUCAAUUAUAACCAAACAACUAUUCAAACUGAACCAGAUUAAACUAAAACCACUUUUAAUCCUAAGUUAAUCCCUGAGAGUUCAAGUUAAUCUAUUGUUGAAAAUUAUUAAUUAAGUAGGGCUCUAAGAGAACUAGUUCAGUUAAACAAUAACACUGAAUCAUGAAUUCAUGAGAGAAACAAUCAUUUAUUCAUGCACUGAAAUUAAACUCAAAAAUAAUUAUGAACUAAAACUUAAUCAAACAAAAAUCUAAGGAAAUGAAAAGCAAACAUCGAGCAGAGGAAGAAAUAAAAGAAAAACGAAAGAGAAAAAAAGAUUUACUAUAACUGAAUCAAGACCUGGGCAAAUCAUGUUGAAAUUGCUUGACAAAACUAGUGCUUAAUCGUGUGUUCUCAUGAGAAAACACGUGACUAAACCCUACAAUGAUCAAACCUCCAGGCAUGAGAAAAUUAGGGUUCCAAACUGAUCUUCGAUCUAAACCCUACAAUGAGCCACGCAGGGAUGAUUCGAAUGCUAUGAUUGUGGAUUUUGAAAGAUGGGGGUAAGGACGCCAUAGGGUGUUAAUUUGGCGAGGUUUGGGGGUGGCGCCGCCGUGGGUGUCAGAGCAGUCGCCACUUUCAUUGAAUAUUCGACAAACUUGGGUGAUAUUUGAGGGCUACAGAUAGCAUGGAUGGAAAGAGAAGGUCAAGGAGGUUGGGUGGUGUAAUCUUGGGAGCCAUCGGAGCAUCGCCGUCGCAGCCGGCGGACGGCAGAGGGUGGUGGUGUUACGUCGGCGUAUAUUAGGGUUCGGGAGGGAUAGGGUACGAGGUCUCGUUUGUGGUAGUGGGGUUUGAGACAAUUAUAUAUCUAUCCUAACCUAGCUUCACUACGGUUGGAUCAAAGAGAUGGAUGGCUGUGAUUUAUUAAUAGCAAACGACGUCGUUUUGAUCAGGAGGGGGCUGGACCGGGUGGCUUUUUGGUUGGACCAUGGUUAGACUGCGUUUUUAGACUGGCAUGUAUAAUUAAACUGGCCCAAAUUUGGGUCUUUUAAUUAAGAUAUUUUUCAAUUUCUUUGUUUUACUUUAUUUAUUUUAAUUACUAAUUUUGAUUUUAUUAAAUACCAAAGUAACAUCAAAAUAUUGCAAAGACCUGAUUUAAAUCUAAAAUUAAGCUAAUUAAACUCAAAAUUUUAAUUCAACCCUAAGUUAAAAAAAAUCUAAGGUAAACUCAAAUAUUAAAAGGUAAAAAAUGCGAAGUGGACUAUUUUUUGUUAUUUUCUUUCGUUUUUUUGUAAUGUUAACUAAUUAAUGAACCUAAAAUAUUAAAAUGGUAUCCUAAAAGCAAAUGUGCUGUUUUUGUAUUUUGUUCAUGAAUUAUAUCAAUUAAAAUGCACAAAAAAUACAAAUAAAUACACGAUUAUGCAAUUAAAUUCUAAAACUUGCGCAGAUAAAGAAAAAUCCUAAUUUUACAAAUUUAUAGGAGUAAUUUAAGCUGGGCGAAAAUCACAUGCUCACACAAACUUGUCACGACCCCAACCCCGAUCGUGAUGGCGCCCAACACAUUGCUAGGCAAGCCCGACCAAUUGUCAAUCACAACCUUUCUCCUAUAGAGUUCAUUACCAAUUAACAGAGUUUAAAUACCAAUUUAACAUAAAUAGAAGUCUGGAACAAUAUAUAAAAUGUGUUGAAAUCAUAAUAACGUCACUACAUAGCCCAACUAUUCGGUGUCACACGUCAAGAGCCUCUAAUACAUAGAUAGUAUAGGAAUGCAGAAAAAUAAUAAGAUAGAAAGAGAAAUCGUAUCUGCGGACGCCAUGUAGUUGUCUCGACAACUCUGUUAAACGCUGAUCAACGAGAAAAUACUCUCAUUCUGCCUCUGGAACACCUGAAUCUGCAUGAAGGUGCAGGGAGUAUUAUGAGUACUCCGACCCAGUAGGUAAUAAGCAUAAAUAAUGAUUCAAAAAAAGAAAUCAAGGAAAAACACAGAGUAAGCUAUGAUGUGGCAGAUAAAAACAAGUAACGCGAAAGCAAUAAACCAAUGAAAGGCAAAAUAGGAUAAUUCUACAGUAAGUAAGCAGUUAAGUGACAGGCAGUUAAAGAAAGUCAACACAUAUAACAAAACCACAUAGUUCCGCUGCGGCAUGCAACACGAUCCAUAUAUCAUUGCGGCAUGCAGCCCGAUCCAUAUAUCAUCAACGUCGCUCAAUGGGGGUGCGCAGACUCCCGGAGAGGCCUGCUACGGCCCAAGCGCAAUAUAAAGCCAUCUCGUGGCAUCAAAUCUAGGCCUUCAACCUCAUAUCACUAUCAAUAUAAUAUUGUUGUGGCGUGCAUCCCGAUCCCAUACAAACCUCACAUCUGGCCCUCAGCCAUACUCAGCCUAGAAAUCAUAUAAGCCCCCCGGGCAUUAGUAAAACAAUAAUUCUCAGCCAAAACAUCAUUUAAUAUAUCUUUUUAGUUUGAAAUCGAGUAAAAAUGGCAGAUUUGUAAAGCAGUGGAAAAACGGUACGACUAUGUUCAAGUAGUAAAUCAAAAAUGUUAGAAAGUAGUGAUAAAAAUCCCCGAAGGAUUUAACUAGUUGGCUCGAAGCCCAAAUAUGACAAUCAAUCCAAGUCAUGUGGGUAACAAUUAAGUGAUAGUCAAAUAUGCCGUAAAAUCAUCGAUCGGGAUGGACCAAGUCGCACUCCCCAAUAGUAAACGGCCCCAUGCUCAUCCUCAAGCGCGUCUCUAACCUUAAUAUAGCACUACGAUGUGCAAAUCCAGGAUUUCAAACCCACAAGACAUCAUUUACAAUCAUUACUCACCUCGAACCGGUGAAAGCUCUAGCUCGCUACACAUUUACCUCUCAAAUCGGCCUCCUCACGUGUCCAAUCUCCAAUCAAUCCUCCUUGAAUCCCUGUUCCAUUUCUCCCAAAGAGCUCUCAAAAUACCCAACAAUGGUGGAACAAUGGCUAAGACUCGUGGAUGAAAUGUUUAUAACCUUCUUCCUACUUUCUAAAUUCUCUUCAAUGUGAUCGCGGCCAAAGGCUCGCGAUCGCGAAGGGCAAAUUUUCCAAGACCUCAAAAUACUCUAUGAGAACACGACAUAAGUCCUACGAAUGCGAUGCUGCCUUUCACUAAACUACGCGAACGCGUACCUCCAGGUGUGAACGCGAAGGGCAAUGGCCCAUGACCUUCAAAUCCUUCUAUGUGAACGCAGAAGGUCUUAUGCAAACGCGAAGCAUCACCAUAUAAUCUUAUGUGAUCGCGAACACUCACAAGCGAACAUGAUGAACAAAUUUCCUCUGGACUCUCUAAUCGGCCUCCUCACGUGUCCAAUCUCCAAUCAAUCCUCCUUGAAUCCCUGUUCCAUUUCUCCCAAAGAGCUCUCAAAAUACCCAACAAUGGUGGAACAAUGGCUAAGACUCGUGGAUGAAAUGUUUAUAACCUUCUUCCUACUUUCUAAAUUCUCUUCAAUGUGAUCGCGGCCAAAGGCUCGCGAUCGCGAAGGGCAAAUUUUCCAAGACCUCAAAAUACUCUAUGAGAACACGACAUAAGUCCUACGAAUGCGAUGCUGCCUUUCACUAAACUACGCGAACGCGUACCUCCAGGUGUGAACGCGAAGGGCAAUGGCCCAUGACCUUCAAAUCCUUCUAUGUGAACGCAGAAGGUCUUAUGCAAACGCGAAGCAUCACCAUAUAAUCUUAUGUGAUCGCGAACACUCACAAGCGAACAUGAUGAACAAAUUUCCUGCCUAACAAAUUGCUUCUACACGAUCGCGACACCACCCCUGUGAUCACGAAGGCCAAACACCCUGCAACAUCAGAACAACAGACCCUACAAAUCCCAAGUGCCAAAAUUGGUCCAAUUGACCCCCCAAAACUCACCCAAGGCCUCCGAGACAACCAAAAUACACACACAUCCUAAACACCUCAAAUAAAACCAAAUCCAUCAAUUCACAUCGAAUUCAAGCCUCAGUUUUCCAAAAACUUCCGAGACACAUUUUUUAUCAAAAACCCAACCAAACCACGUCCAUAUGACUUGAAAUUUUGCACACACAUCCUAAAUCAUAUAACAAAGCUAUAAAAACUAUCGGAGUUUCAAUCCGAUCCUUGGAUAAAAAUCUCACUUAUCAACCGGAAAUUGUCGAAAUGCUAACUUUGUCAAUUCAAGUCCAAUGCUACACCGGACCUCCAAAACCACUUCCAAUCAUACUCCUAACCAUCGAAACUCAGAUCCGAGACCUCUAACUCAUAAGUCAACAUCUGGUUGACUUUUCAAACUCAUGUCCUCUUAAAAGAGACUAAGUGUCUCAUUUCUUACCAAAUUCACUCUGAACUCAAACCAAUCAACUCGACCACAUAAAAAUACGGAUAAUUGCAUAAAGAAGUAGAAAUUGGAUAAAAGGAACAGUAACUCAUGAGACGACUGGUUGGUUCAUCACAAGUACAAUAUUUACCUAAGACAUAUUCUGAUCGAUGCCCACUACUUCUAACUUUAGAGGCCAUAAUUCAUAGGGCCAUAAAAAUUUUUAGGUUUGAACCUAUGUGGUUAUCUCAUCCAAUGUUUUCCAUUUAGUAAACUAAACGUGGCAGAGAACCACCCACUACUGGAAAUUACAAAGAAUUUCUAGGAAAUAAUGACAAAUUGGAAUAAAUGGUCUUUGGUAACAUUUUUGCACGCAAAGGGAAAUUACUAGCACGGCUAGCUGGAAUUCAAUCCUCCAUCCACUAUCCCACUAGUAUACAAUAUUUAGAAAUACAAUUGACAAAUGAGUUUAGAAAUAUACUUUUGAUAGAAGAUGAUUUUUGGAAGAAAAAGUCUAAGCUAAUGUGGCUAAAUGAUGGUGAUGCUAACACAAAUUUUUUUCAUAUUUCUACCUUGCAUAGACAUAGGAGAAAUAGGAUAACAUCCUUGAAGGAUUUAGUGGGCAAUUGGUGUGAUUACCAAAAUACUAUUAAAAACAUAAUUCAAAUAUAUUAAUAAAUCUUUUCACUAUUGAACAAAUUCAUUCCACUUACUUGACUGAGGAAAGACAUAACUGUUCUAUUAAUAGGCACGACUUAACUGUUUUAGACGAGCCUCAUAGAGACACUAAAAUUACCUAAGCUUUACAUAUCUUUCAACCUUAUAAGGCAUUUGGGCUAGAUGGGUUACAUCUAUUCUUUUAUAAAAAAAUAUUGAUUAUGCUAGGUAAUAAAGUCAAGGAAUUUUGUCAUGUAAUUUUCAAUUCUAAGACAAUUCCACCAUCUCUAAAUCAAACUUAUAUUUGCCUAAUUCCUAUAGUCAAAUACGCUCAUAAAGACUAAUAAGCCUAUGUAACACUAUAUAGAAACUUAUAACAAAAAUCGUUGUGAAUAGGCUGAAGCCUCUACUUAUCUCAAUAAUUGGACAAACACAAACUAGCUUUCAAUAUGGUAAACAUGUCUCUGAUAAUGACAUAAAGUACAGAGGUCAUAAAUUGCUUUACCAAAAUGAAAGAAAAGGCUGGUUGCAUGCUCUUAAAACUAGUGUUGGAAAAGGCUUUUGAAAGAUUAGAAUAUUCAUUUAUUAGAAAUACACUCAUUUACUUUGGAAUUCCUAAGGCUAUGAUUAAAUUAAUAAUGUCUUGUGUUACCACUACUUCUAUCUCUAUUCUCCUCAAUGCUUCCCUUACACCCUACUUUACACCUACAAGAGGUAUUAGAUAAGGUGACCAUUUGUCACCGUACUUAUUUAUUAUGUGCAUGGAAAUAUUCUCAAGAUGCAUUAACAUAUCAGUAGAAUACUUAAAAUGGCAACCUAUUAAUAUUACAUAAAGGGGAUCAAACCUAUCCCAUCUCUUUUUUGCAUAUGAUAUCCUUCUAUUCUCCAAAACAGCUCCUAAAAGUUAUUACUCUCACGACCCGGAAUUCCAACCCUCGGGAGCCAUAAUGGCGCCUACUAAUGAGAGCUAGGAAGGCCGGAAUAACAGUACACAGUUUCUUAAUAUAAGGAAAAUGAAACCGGAAAUCAAGAUAGAGGGAGACGUUAGGGACUGCGGAUGCCUGCAGGUCUACCUUGGGUCUUCGAAAUGGACUUAAGGAAGCCUUCAACUACUGUCCAAACCUGCUCUGGAAUUUGCACAUAGUGCAUAGUGUAGUAUCAGCAUAAGCCACCCUCUGCACUAGUAAGAGCCUAGUCUAACCUCAGCGAAGUAGUGACGAGGCUAGAACCAUACUACCAAAUAAACUUGUGCAGUUCUAAUAUAUAUAUACAACAUAAAAGAAAUACAGGGAUAGCCAAUCAAUAUGGGAGGGGGAGCAUGCUUUCGGGUAAAAUCGAAUAGUAACAGAAGAGCAAGAAAUAAGUUCACCAUAGUUCAAUUGAAAACAGGAAGGGGAAAUCAUACUGCAAGGUACAACAAGUAUCAACAGUAAACCAGAAAUUUAGUAUAGAUAAACCAUAACAAAAUCAUCAAUAAAAAUCAGAAAAAUCAAAGACAAGUGCACGACAUCACCUUUUGUGCUUUUACUCUCUCUCACUAAAACAAUUCACGACAUCACCCUUCAUGCUUUAACACUCUUUCAACAAAAUAAUACACGGCAUCACCCUUCGUGUUUUACGCUCUUCCUCACCCAAACAACAAUCAUACGGCAAAUAGGGUAAAGGAAUCUAUAACCUUGAAAUAAAAUCAAGUAACAAUAUAAAUCAGUAAAUAAACAUAAAGGAAAACAUAGCUCAAUUACCAGAAAGAACCACGAAAAAUCAAGGACAAGUGCACGACAUCACCCUUCAUGCUUUUACUCUCGUCUUCACCAUAAGAAUUGAUGCAAUAGGCACGGAAUCUGACAUCAUGCGGCACACCAACAACCUUCGUGCUUUACACUCUUUCCCACCAUGAAUUCAAUAUAAUAGGCAUGGAACGGUACAUCGUGCGACACUGCAUCACCUUCGUGCUUUACACUAUUUCCUCACAAAACAAACAAUGGAUGGCAUCACCCUUCGUGCUUUAACUCUCUUCCUUACCCAAGCAACAAUCACAAACAAUAGGGCAAGGGAAUAAAUGAAAUUGCAAUAAAUAUCUCAGCAAGGGAACAACAUCAAUAACCUCAACACCCCUGAAAGGGAGAUAACGAAUAAAUCACCAAUAUCCCCGCAAGGGAGACAACAUAAUGAGCUCCUCUCUUUCUCACUUUUACUUCACAAUUUACUUCACAUUUCGAGCCAAUACUCUAGAGGUUCAAUUUUCACUUACAAUUUCACAAAUUUUUUACACAUCUUGAGCCAAUGCUCCUCAAUGUUAAUAGGUUACAAUUCCUUCCACAAACUUUAAAAAACAAAUAGAAACCACCACAAAGGCACGAAAGAUACAAUGAAGUCAUGAUGAUCACAAUAUAAAUACUUACGGGCAUGCUAGACACCGUAUAGAUACUCGUCACAAUGUCUAUAAGAUGUACUCAACAAUUAACACAUAGAAAAUAGGACUCAACUCCUAAUCCCUCAAGCUAAGGUUAGACCAAACACUUAUCUCGAUGCCACAAACACAAUUCACAAUUCAACUAUUGCUUUACCCCUUCAUUCCACCACCAAUUCGCGCGUAUCUAGUCACAAGUUACUUAAUUACAUCAAUAACGCUAAAAGAAUUAAUGUGAAUCCAUGAAAAUAAAUUUUCCAAAGUUUUACCCAAAAAUUCAAAAUCGCCCCCAAGCCUACAUGGUCAAAGCCCGAGGUUCAAACCAAAACCCGAUUACCCAUUCCCCCACGAACUCAAAUAUAUAAUUUGUUUUGAAAUCAGACCUCAAAUAGGUGUCCAAAUUCCCAAUUUUCAAAAAACCUAAGUUCUACCCAAGACACCCAAUUUCCCAUGAAGUGAAUUGAUUUUUAGUUGAAAUCAUGUUAAAAGAUAUUAUGGAGUGAAGAAAAAGAGUAGAAGUCACUUACCAACAUUUUGGAGAAGAAAGGUUGUUUCAAAAAUCACCUCUUUUAUUUUGGGGGUCUUACAAAAUAAAAAAUAACUAGAAAUCCCGUGUAAAUAAACAAAUCUAAGAUGCCCUAUGCGGACCAUACAAAAUCAACUGUGGCCGCACAGCUCUUCUUGUGUACUGCAUCGACAUGUUUUAGUAUUUUGGCCAUACCAUUCUCAAUAAAUGUCGAAAUUGUGAUUUUUUUACCUUUCUAGAAGCUAGACACAAAGGGCUACAAUUUUAUUUUUGAAUUAUCUCAAAAUUCCUUGUAUAUCAAAAGAUAUAGGCUUCCGAAAUCGGACCAGUGAAAUGUUCUUCACUGCAAACCGCACAAAAACUAGUACGGCCACACAGGCCCCUCCGCAGUAGCAAUCCAAUUCGCGCGGACAACACUGGUCUGUUCAGAGACCUUUCACUUCUUUAAGCGUGCAAUAGCUCUGGUUUUUAAGCCUAAGACAUCCUAGAACCUAUCCAAAACUCACCCGAGCCCUUGGAAAUCCUAACCAAGUGCAUAAAAAACCUCAAAAAUAUCCUACAGACUUAUUCGUGUAAUCUAAUCACCAAAAUAACAUCAUGAACAUCAAAUUAAACCUCAAGAUCAAUGGAAUUUCUCAAAACUCCAUUAAACAUCAAAUUUUCUAAUUAAGGUCCGAAUUACGACAAACAGACUCCGUUUGUACCAAACUUCACGGAGUUAUCUUAAAUCAUACAAGACAUGUACUGCGCGCCGGAACUAAAAUACGGGCCUAAUACUAACAUAUUCUAGUCAAAAUUCAUUGCCAUAUCCUUUAAACAAUUUCAGAAAAUAAAUUUUCUUUAAAAAUUUAUUUCUCGGGCUUAGGACCCAAGAAUUUAAUAUUGGGCAUAGCCCCAAGUCCCAUAUAUUUCUAUGAACUCUCCAGACAGUCAAAUCACGGGUCCGGAUCCGUUUACCCAAAACGUUGACCGAAGUCAAAUUACUUUAUUUUAUAAUAAAAAUUUAUCAUUUUUUCCAUAGAUUUUCACAUUUAAGCUUUUAGGCUACGUGCUCGGACUGUGUACUCAAAUAGAGGUGGUUCUAAGAGAGGUUUUAUGGCCUCAGAAUGUAGAAUUUCAUUGCAACGCAAGUGAUGACUGUUUGGGUCAUCACAUUCUCAGCUCUAAAACAAUCGUUCGUCCUCGAACAGACAGAAUAAGAAAGUACUUGAGUUGGGGAAAAGAUGGGGUUAACGGCUCUAUGUAUCAGACUCGGACUCCCAGGUCGAUUCAUCAGGCGAAUGACCUAUCCACCAGACAUGAACAAAAAGAGAAGUCUUCGAUCUCAACUGACGAAUUUUCCGGUCUAGAAUAGCUACCGGCUCCUCCUCAUAAGACAAGUCCUUGUCCAACUAGACAGUGCUAAAAUCUAACACUUGGGAUGGAUUGCCGUGAUACUUCCGAAGCAUGGACACGUGAAACAUUGGAUGCACGACUGAUAAGCUCCACGGCAAUGCAAUUCUAUAAGCCAUCUCUCCCACUCGAUCCGGAAUCUCAAACGGACCAACGAACCUACGGCUAAGUUUGCCGUUUUCCCAAAUCUCAUCAUGCCCCUGAUAGAUAACACUCGGCGAAAUACUCGCUUACUAACCAUGAAUGCUAAGUCACGAACCUUACGGUCGGUAUAGCUCUUUUGCCGGGACUGAGCUGUACGAAGCCUAUCCUGAAUGAUCAUGACCUUGUCCAAGGCAUCCUAAACUAGAUUUGUACCCAACAACCGUUCCUCUCCCAAAUCAAACCAUCCAACCGGAGACCGGCAUCGCGUACUAUACAAAGCCUCAUACGGAGCCAUCUGGAUACGGCUGGUAGCUGUUGUUGUAGGAAAACUCUGCUAAAGGUAAAAACUGAUCCCACAAGCCUCAAAUGUCAACAACACAAGCUCGGAGCAUAUCUUUCUAAAUCUGAAUAGUCCACUCGGACUACCCAUCUGUCUGAGGAUGAAAUAUUGUGCUCAACUAAACCUGUGUGCCCAACUCUCGCUAAACUGCUCUCCAGAAAUGUGAAGUAAAUGUGUACCUCGAUCCGAAAUUAUGGACAAAGGCACACCAUAAAGACGAAUAAUCUCCCGGAUAUAGAUCUCCGCUAACCUCUCGGAUAAAUAUGAGACUGUCAUAGGAAUGAAAUGCGAUCACUUGGUCAGCCUAUCAAUAAUGACCCAUACUGCGUUGAAUUUCCUCCAAGUCUGCGAGAGUCCAACAAUAAAAUCCAUAGUGACUCAUUCUUACUUCCACUUGGGAAGCUCAAUCCUCUGAAAUUAAUAACUAGGCCUUUGAUUCUUGUACUUAACCUGCUGACAAUUCAAACAUCGAGUCACAUAUGCAAUGAUAUCCUUCUUUAUUCUCCGCCACCAAUAAUGUUGUCGCAAUUCCUGAUACUUAUUCAUGGCGCUCGGAUGAAUAAAGUACCGAGAAUUAUAGGUCUCCUCUAAAAUCAAUUCUCGGAGUCCAUCCACAGUAGGCAUACAAACUCAACCCUGAAAUCUCAAAACCCCAUCAUCAUCUCAGGUAACCUGCUUGGUACCCCCACGCUACACCGUGUCUCUAAGGAUGCAAAAAUUAGGAUCAUCAUACUGCCGAUCACGAAUACGCUCCAACAAUGAAGAACAAGAGACUGCACAAGCUAACACACAACAUCCAACCUCACGAACUGAUUGGCCAAGGCCUGAACAUCCAAAGCAAGCGGUCUCUCACCGAUUGGAAUAUAAUCAAGACUAUCCCUACUGGCGGACUUCCUACUCAAAGUAUCGGCCACCAUGUUGGCCUUCCCCAGAUGAUAUAAGACAAUGAUGUCAUAAUCUUUCAACAACUCCAGCCACCUCUUCUACCUCAAAUUCAACUCCUUUUGCUUGAACAAAUACUGCAGACUCUUGUGAUCUGUGAACACCUAACAUACCACACCAUACAGAUAAUGCCUCCAAAUCUUCAAUGCGUGAAAAAUGGCUACCAACUCCAAAUCAUGAAUCGGAUAGGUCCUUUCAUGAAUCUUUAACUGCCACAAAGCAUAGGCAAUGACCUUGCCAUCCUGCAUCAACACUGCACCAAGCCCAAUACAAGAUGCGUCAUAAUAAACUGUAUCAUGCCCUGAACUUAUGGGCAAAUCCAACACCGGUGUUGCAGUCAGAGUUGUCUUGAAAGCUCACCUCACACUCGUCCGACCAUCUGACCUAGGCACCCUUCUAGGUCAACUUGGUCAUCGGAGCUCAGAUAGAUGAGAAUCCCUCCACGAACCAACAAUAGUAGCCUGCCAAUCACAAGAAACUCCAAAUCUCUAUAGCUGAUGUUGGUCUAGGCCUGUUAUUGACUGCCUCAAUAUUCUUCAUAUCAACCUGAAUACCCUCUUCUGACACAACAUGACCCAAGAAUGCAACUGAACUUAACCAGAACUCACACUUCGAGAACUUAGCAUAUAACUUAAUAUCCCUAAAAGUCUAAAGACCCACUAUGAGAUGUUGCUCGUUCUCCUCCCGACUGCAGGAAUAUAUCAAAAUAUCAUUAAUGAAGACAAUCACUAACGAAUCUAAAUAAUUCCUGAACACUCAGUUCAUCAAAUCCUUAUAAGUUGCUCGGGCAUUCGUCAACCCGAAUGACAUCACCAAGAACUCAUGAUGCCCGUAUCGAGUGCAAAAAUUUGUCAUAGGGACAUCUGUCCUAAUCGUCAACUGAUGGUAGCCAGAUCUCAAGUCAAUCUUUGAAAAUACCUUGGCACUCCGGAGCUGAUCAAACAAAUCAUCAAUACUUGGAAAUGGAUACUUAUUCUUGAUUGUAACCUUUUUCAACUGCGGUAAUCGAUACAUAUUCUCAUCAAUUUGUCCUUCUUCUUAACAAAAAACACUGGUGCUUCCAAAGGCAAAACACUGGGACCAAUGAAACCCUUCUCAAGCAAGUCUUGGAACUGCUCAUUCAACUCUUUCAACUCGGGUGGGGCCAUAAGAUACGGCAGGAUAGAAAUGGGCAGCGGGCUUAGAGCCAAAUCAAUGCAAAAAUAAAUAUCCCUAUCAGGUGGCAUACCCCGCAUGUCAAAAGAGAAAACCUCAUAAAACUCACGAACAACGGGUAUAGAAUCAAUAGAGGGAACCUCGGCACUAGAAUUAAGAACAUAUGCCAAAUAUGACAAACACCCCUUCUUGACCAUAUGCUGAGCCUUCAGAUAAGAGAUAACAUUGCACGUAGAAUGAUCAGGAGUCCUUCUCCAUUCUAAACAAGGUAAACCCGGUGAGGCUAAGGUCACAGUCUUGGCAUGGCAAUCUAAGAUAGUGUGUUAAGGUGAUAACCAGUCCAUCCCUAAUAUGAAAUCAAAAUCGAUAAUGUCCAGAAGAAGCAUAUCUACACGAGUCUCAAGACCUCUAAUCACAGCUAUACAUGAAUGAUGGACUCGAUCUACAACCAUUGAAUCACCUACCAGUGUAGAGAUAUAAAUAGUAGCACUAAAAGAAUCACUAGGCAUGACCAGAUAUGGUGAAAAAUAGGAUGUCAAAAAUGAGUAUGUAGACCCUGGAUCAAUUAAUACUGAAGCAUCUCUAUGACAAACCAGAACAGUACCUAUACCUCUACCUCUAAUACCUUUACCUCCAGCUCUAGCAUCUCUACCUCCACCUCUAAUACCUCAUCCUCUACCUCUAGCUAACUGAGUGGGCUGGACGAGUCCCUCAAUGAACCUCCUCAUUCUCUCUCAUAGUGGGAAGUAUGAUAAGAUCAUGACGAGUCGAUGAAUCUAAUCUUGUACUAACUAAUAGUCAUAAAACCCUGGUGGAGAUGCUCAAACAGCUUCGAUAGACCUCUCUUAGAGUAGCGGGGAGAAAAUUCUCCAAAAAUAGCAGUGUGAACUGCUCCCAACUCAAGGCUGGCGAUCCUGCUGGUUUGGCCAAGCAAUAAUCUCUCCACCAAGUCUUGGAGGAUCCAAACAAGCGAAAAGUAGCAAAAUUGACCCUAUUGGUCUCCACGAUCCCCAUGUUCAUGAGAACCUCAUGACAACUGUCUAGAUAAUCUUGGGGAUCCUCAGAAGAUGCACCACUGAAAGUAGUAGUAAAGAGCUUUGUGAAACCUAUCCAACCUCCACAAAGCCUCCGAAGAUGUAGCUGACCUAUUAUUGGUCUAAGAUGCUGCUCAACUGAAGAAGUGGUACGUGACCUCUCUAUGCGUGAAAGGGCAAGAGUAGGGGUUUCAAUUUAGCACUGAGAGAACAAAAUCGCAUGACAGGAAAGAAUGAAUGUGAAAUUUUUCCCUAAUUCUGUAGCCUCUGGGGAUCAAUUCAGAUGUCUACAUACCAAUCCCUCAGACUCUACUAAGCUUGUCUAUGAACUGUGAGACCCACGUAACUUAGAGCUCUGAUACUAACUUAUCAUGACUCGGAAUUCCUACCUCGGGAGUCAUGAUGGCGCCUACUAAUGAGAGCUAGACAAGCCAAUCCUUAACUACUUACUUCAUUAUUCAAUUUUUCUUUUUCACAAAUAAACAAUGAUAACAUGAAAAUAACAUAACUUUAAUUAAUUAAGCGGAAGAUGACGACUAAAUAUCGGAAAUCUACAUCUAUUACAACUAUUAUAACCUCAAACACCCAAAAUCUGAGAUCAUUAUGUUGUCUCUCUGAAGGAAUAAUAGAACAUAGUUUCUGAAUACAAGGAAAAUGAAAUAGGAAGUCGAGAUAGAGGUAGAGGCCAGGGCCUGCGGACAUAUGUAGGUCCUCCUUGGUUCUUGGGGUAAACUGAAGGAAGCCCCCAACUACUAUCCAAAGCUGCUUUGGAAUCUACACAUAGUGUAGACUGUAGUACCAGCACAACCGACCCUAUGUGCUGGUAAGCACCUAGCCUAAACUCGGUGAAGUAGUGACAAGGCUAGGACCAAACUACCAAAUAAAGCUAUGCUGUUCAAAUAUAUAUAUAUAUAUACACACACACACACACACGCACACACACACACAAAAAAAAUGGAAAAGAAAUGCAGGGAUAGCCAAUCAAUAUGGGAGGGGGAGCAUGUUGGUGGGAAACGUCGAGUAGUAACAGAAGAGAAACAAAUAAGUAUGAGGUUCACAACACUUUAAUUGAAAAUAGACAAGGAAAAUCAUGUUGUAGGGUACAACAAUUAUCAACAGGAAACCACCAAUUUAGUGUAGAGAAAUCGUAACACAAUUAUCAAUAAAAAUUAGGAAAAUUAAAGACAAGUGCACGACAUCACCCUUCGUGCUUUUACUAUGUUCCUUACCCAAACAACACUCACAAACAAUAGGGAAAAUGAAUAGAUGAAAUUGUCAUAAAUAUCCCGGCAAGGGAACAACAUCAAUAACCUCAACAGCCCGGCAAGGGAGAUAACGAAUAAACUAACAAUAUCCCGGCAAGGGCAACAACAUAAUGAUCUCUUCUCUUUAUCACUUUUACUUCACAAUUUACAUUACAAAUUGGGCCAAUGCUCUAGAGGUUCAAUUUUCACUUACACUUUCACAAUUCGAUAUAAAACUUAAGCCAACAAUCCUUAAUGUUCAUAGGUUACAACUCCUUCCACAAACUUUAAACAACAAAUAGAAACCACCACAUGGCACGAAAGAUACAAUGAAGUCAUGAUGAUCACAAUAUAAAUAAGUACGGGCAUGCUAGACACCAACGUAUAGAUACUCGUCAUCAUGCCUAUAAGUUGUACUCAACAUUUAACACACGGCAAAUACAACUCAACUCCUAAUCUCUCAAGCUAAGGUUAGACCAAACACUUACCUCGAUGCCACAAACACAAUUCACAAUUCAAUUAUAGCUAUACCCCUUGAUUAUACCACCAAGUCGCUCGUAUCUAGUCACAAGUUACUUAAUUACCUUAAUACCGCUAAAUAAAUCAAUGUGAAUGCAUGAAAAUAAAUUUUCUAAAAUUUUACCCAAAAAUUACAAAUCGACCCCAGGACCACAUGGUCAAAAUCCGAGGUUCGAACCAAAACUCGAUUGCCCAUUCUCCCACAAAUUCAAUAUAUAAUUUUUUCUGAAAUCAGACCUCAAAUUGGGGUCCAAUUCCCUAAUUUUUUAAAAACCUAGGUUCUACCCAAGACACCCAAUUUUUUCUAUGAUAAUCAUUGAUUUUGAUUUUAAAUCUUGUUAAAAGAUGUUAAAGAGCGAGAAAAUAAAUUAGAAAUCACUUACCAACGUUUUAGAGAUAAAAGGUUGUUCGAAAAAUCGCCUCUUAUAUUUUUGGGGUCUUGAAAAACAAAAAAUAACUUAAAAUCCCCUCUAAAUAUACUACUCUCAGAUGCCCUGUGCGGACCGCACAAAAUCAACUACGGCUGCACUGCUCUUCUUGUGUACUUCAGUGACAUGUCUUAGUAUUUUGGCCAUAAAUUUCUCUACAUAUAUCUUAAUUGUGAUUUCUUUACCUUUCUGGAAACUAGAUACAAAGAGCUACAACUUUUGUUUUUUAAUUAUCUUAAUAUUCUUGUAGAUCAAAUGAUAUAGAUUUUUGAAGUCGGACCGGUGAAAUAUGCUUUACCGCGGACCGCAUAAAAACUAGUGCGGCCGCACAGGCCCCUCAGCGGUAGCACUCAAAUUUGUGCGGACUGCACUGGUCUAUUAAGAGGACUUCCACUUCUCUGAGCCUAAAACAACUCUAAUUUUCAAGCCUAAGACAUCUCGGAACCUACCCGAAACUCACCUGAGCCCUCGGAACCCCAAACCAAGUGCACACAAAAUCUCAAAAUAUCCUACGGACUCAUUUGUGUAAUCCAAUCAUCAAAGUAACAUCAUGAACAUACAUCAAUAUCAAUGAAAUUCCUCAAAACUCCUUUAUACAUCAAAUUUUUCAAUUAAGGUCUGAAUCACGUCAAACAGACUGUUUCUUACCAAAUUUCACAGAGUUAUCUUAAAUUUCCAACAAGACCUAUACCGGACGACGGAACCAAAAUAUGGAUCCGAUACCAACAUGUUCUAAUCAAAAUUCAUUCGCAAAUCCUUUAAACAAUUUCAGAAAACAAAUUUUCUUUAAAAAUUUAUUUCUCGGGCUUGGGACCUCGGAAUUCUAUUCCGGGCAUACGCCCAAGUCCUAUAUUUUCCUAUGGACCAUCCGGGACCAUCAAAUCAUGGGUCCAUAUCAGUUUAUCUAAAACGUUGACCGAAGUCAAAUUAGUUCAUUAUAUAAUAAAAAAAUAUUAUUUUUUCACAAAUUUUCACAUUUAAGCUUUUCGGCUACGCGCCUGGAUUGCGCUUGUAAAUCGAAGUGAUACUAAGAGAGGUUUUUAAGGCUCCGGAACGUAGUAUUUUAUUACAACAUAAGUGAUGGUCAUUCGGGUCAUUAUAGUUACACUGUUAUAGAUGUUAUAUAUCACUUUACAAGAUUUUCAAAAUAGAAAAUCAACUUCAAAAAAUCAAACCUUUUUUUCUCAAAAAACUGUGAAAGAAACGAUAAAAACUUGGCCCUAAGCUGUUUCCAAAUCAAAGAAGGAACAAAAUUUGGUAAAUACUUAGGAUUCCCAAUUUUCCAUACACGAUCAAAGAAAGCUGAUUUCCAAUUCAUACUGGAUAAUAUUAGAUCUAGAUUAACCGGGUGGUAGACUAAUUUCUUAACAAUGUCAGAUCGGGCUACGCUAAUUAAGUCUAUAUUAGAUAAUUUAUCUAUGUUACGCAAUAUAUUUAUAUUUGAACAUCAAUCAGUAAUAAAAUGAAACAACAUCAACGAAAUUUCCUAUGGGAAACAACAGCAACAAAAAUGAAACUACAUCUCUUAAAAUGGGAAAUGAUUACUAGGUCUCGCAAGGUAGGGGAUUGGGAAGCCAAUGUGUUAGACAAAAAAUGAUGCCUUACUGGCAUGCCUAGCAUGGAUGGCCUUUCACUCACCUAAAACAUUAUGGGCCAACAUAUUAAUUGAGAAAUUCAAUCAAAAACCCUUGGCAUAAUAUUCUCAAGGGUUGGGAAAAUUGCCAACUAGGGUUACAAAGGCAUAUAGGAAUAGGCGCACAUAUUAACUUUUGGACUAAUUGUUGGAUAAAAAAUAAGACAACUGUGCGCUCACUAAUUAGUGGCCCGUUGACACUGGCAAAGAUAAAUCUCAAACUAAGCUUAAUUAAUAAUAAUGGUUGGAAUUGGGACUUGGUUCUAUUUGAGUUUGCAACUGACAUUAAAAAUACUAUAACCAAUAAAUAUAUUUCUGUUAUAAAAUUAUAAAAGAAGAAAAAGAUUAUUAUAGAGAAAAAUAGAGAACUUUUAUUGAUUUUGUGAUGAUUUAUAAUGAGGUAAGAUUCAUCUAUUUGUAUGGAAAAAUGACUUAGUCACAAUGUAAAACUCUUUAUAAGAUAGACAUUUAUUCCAAAUGAAAUUCUUUCAGAACACUUACCCUUGAAUGUCUACUCAACAAGUAAUAUGCCUCAUUAAAACCUUAAAUAAAAUAAAACCCAAUGGGAAAAAAAAUAUAGAAAUGGAAAAAGAGUACAAAUAUCUAAUAAUACGCCUUUUGGUUGUCUCGUUAAAAACCUCACAAGGAAAAUCCAGCGGGACAAAACCUUGUAAGAAGAAAAGAGUGCAAUGCGCAUUUGCUCCCCCUGAUGAGAGCAUCACUUCAUAUCCUUGAGCCUAUGCAUUAGAAUUUUGUGCACCAUCUUCAAAAGAUCUCUUGAACAAAUUUGUUUUACCUUGAAAUCAUUAUUCUUAGUAGAUGUAUUGUCUUCAUAUGAUCUUGUUGGAAUCGUAAAUUCAAUAUCUUCACAUACAAGUGAAAACUCAUAUUAUCAUGUCCAUAGUUAUAGCAAGAUAUAUAUUUAUGCACAAAUUGCACUAAGAAAGUGGUACUUAAGAAUCAAGAAUUGUAUAUGCUUUAAACAGUUUAAAUCCCUCAUGGAUUGUCAUAUAAGUUAAGUUAUAUAAGCCAUCUAAAGAGACUUUAGAUGUAUAUCAAGUUUUCAUGUCAUGCUAGAUAUAUAAGGUAUCGAAAACUAAUUGCACAUACUAUUGACUUUAUAUUUUCAAGUAUUUGAACAACAUAGAUAAAAUUAUAUGUCUUUUAUAUAAAACCAAUUCUAUUCGAAUUGUGUCUCUUCCAUUUGGCCAAUAUUUUUGUGUCUAUAUUCGAUAGACUUAAGAUCAUCAUCUAUACUUAGUGCUAUGAUAGAUGUUGUCGAAAAAUAUUUUAUAUCGGUUCCAACCUCCUUAUUUUUCAUAAAGACAUAACAUAGAGAUCUCUUCAUUCAUAUUAUCAGAUACCCGAAUCUCUCAUGAGUUUUAUGAAGUGUUAUGUCGUGUGAUCUCUACAUCACUUGCCUCCUUUAUUUUGAUCAUUUUCUUUAUCAAGAAGUUUAUUUAAAACCGAUUUGUCUAUACGCUUUAAGCGUACCAUUGACUUUGUCCUUCUAGGACUUUAUUAUAAUAGGAGUAUUUGUAGUGAGAAUAUAGUUACUUUCUUUGGGUCAGCAAAUGCAUCUGGCGUGCUUUGCAAUAAAUUGCACAUGAAUUAUCCUUUUAUAAACUUCAAAUUUAUAUUAGUUUAUUCAAGGAUAUAGAUGUAUAAAUAAUAAUUCAUUCCACGUAACUUUUUCUCACUGUUUAUCAUGUCUCCCCCUCAUGUUAGAAAAACUAACUUAUUUCCUCAAUUUUGAAACUCCAUCUUUGUGCAUUAUGGUGUUAAUGAAAAUAUACACCGCACAUCAGUAAUAAUAAGAUGAAAUUAUUUGGUUCCUGACCCUGAACCACUUGUGAGGGGAGAAUAUAAUAUACUCUCUAAUAAUAAGAUGAAACUAUUUGAUUACUAACCCUGAACCACUUGUGAAGGGAGAAAAUGAUAUACUUUCGUAUAUAACGUAUAUAAAACUUAUAUAGAUAACUUUGUUCUCGUAAGCAAUUGUUUAGCCAUUAAGUGGAGGCACUCAAUAAAUUAUUUUGCUAAACCAACUGUGAUGUAAAUCAGCUUAUCAAGAUAAACAAUAUUGGACAGAAAAUCUGGAAAUUAUGCUCUAAGUUAAACUAUUGAGCAAAUUACCUCGCAAACACCAAGUUGCGGGUUAAUAAUAAUCGCAUAUGUAACCAUCUCAUAGAUGCAUCUUAUGUGGUAUACAUGGCAAGUGAAUGUGCUCAUAUUCACCUUUGAUAUUUCCAGUAUUCAUGGGAUUCAAUCCCAAUUUUAGUUGAUCUAUUAAUUAAUGAGAACAAGCAAUAUAGGUGAAUAUACUCAUAUUCACCUUUGAUAUUUCCAGCAUUCAUGAGAUUCAAUCCCAAUUUCAGUUUAUUUAUUAAUUAAUGAGAACAAGCAAUAUAAGAGAAUUCGUAAAGAACUUUCUAGUUCUUUUAAUAUUUUCCCAUGUGAAUUCUCUAUUAUUUUAGCACAUCAUACUUAAAUUGAUUUGACUAAAUCAAUUAUGCCAACUGAAUAAAUUAUCAAUACUGAUAAACUUCAAAUUUACACCAUGACGUGUGCAAUUAUCAAUAAACUCCAAGUUUAUUAUGAUAUGAGUUUUUAUAUCAAUAAACAUCCACUUUAUUGNNNNNNNNNNNNNNNNCUGAUAAACUUCAAAUUUACACCAUGACGUGUGCAAUUAUCAAUAAAUUCCAAGUUUAUUAUGAUAUGAGUUUUUAUAUCAAUAAACAUCCAUUUUAGUGUGGCGUUCUUUUAUUUGUGUAGUACAAACUAGAGAAUAAAGCGGGUAGCUUUUCACAUAUAUACUAUCCCGCUACAACUUGUAGUAAUCGAAGAUAUUAAAUCUUUCCUUUAUUUAUAGUCUAAAUAUAAUCAACUGCUUUCGCGUGUACUUUGAAAACUGAAUAAGUUUCUUUGAGACUUACUACAACACAAUACCUUAUUGGUAAUCAAUUAUGUUUCUCAAACAUAGUAUAAUUGGCUAUCGCAGAGUUCUCAAUUAAUUUUGUAGUACUACAUUCAUCAACACCCAUAUGGUGAAUAUCUCUUUUAAAGAGAAAGUUAUACCAUUAUGGUUAUGGUCAAAAUUAUAUGUAAGAUCUGUUUCUUGCAUUACAGUUGUUUUUAAUAAUCACAAUAGCAAAAUAUCUUGACGCAAAAUAAGCACAUGAUCAAUGACCAUUUAUGCCAUAAUAAUGACAUUAUUUUCUUAUAUCAUCUCAAACCUCCUUCUAGAUGUGAGUGUGGUAUAUUCUCUACCACUGGCACAUUCAUACUCUUCCAAGAAUGAAUAUAUAUUCAUAAAUCAGAUGUUGUCGCAAUCACAUCAUGAAUAGACCAUAAUCAUCUAUAUGUGCUUUACAAAAUCUCGUGUCAAAUCGAAGACAAAUAUUCUUCACAGAAUGAAAGAUUAUUUUGAGAAUCAUUAUUAUUCUCUUUGCCACAAAUAAUGACAAUUAUAGUUUCGUUUAUUGCCACGUCAAUAUCCAUUGAUACAUUCAUAAUAAUAAAUUUGUCUUCUUUCAGACUUAUCACAUGUUGCUAUCACAUUCUUUUAAGUAAAUGAGAAUGGAGUAAAUUCAAUGGGACGGGUUUUCAAUAGUUUGUCCACAAUCAUACAUGAAUUUGAUCAUAGCAAGACAGAGAAAUUUUACCACUUCGGGUGGCUAUAAUUUCUUAUUAACUCCAUUAGAGUUAUAAUAAAAAAUUAUUGUCUUUGCUUGUAUUUAAAAUCAAAUUAUAGAAUAAAAGAGAAAAAUAUGAAUACAUACCUUAAAUUCAUAGUUUAAUCAUGAAGGAAUUUCAUAAAACAAUUAACUAUCAUUAUGCUCAAUCUCAAAGCUUCUACUCAAUUGGUUAGAGUCUCGUGCUGAUAACGUGUUAUAAAACAAUAAAAGAAAAAGAAUAUUAUUACAGAGAAAAGUAGGGAGAGAGAACUCUUAUUGAUUUUGGGAUGAUUUAUAAUGGGAUAAGACUCCUUUAUUUAUAGAAAAAAAUGACUUAGUCACAAAAAAAAACUUUCUACAAAAUAAACAUUCACUCCAAAUAAAAUUUUAUACAUAAUAAUUUCGACUUCCCGUAAUAAAGCUGACAGGAUCUAUUGAGAUUAAUUUACUAGUAAAUCAACGUACACGCAAUUGAAAAACAAAAUAAAGAAUGAUCAGACUGCAAAUUACACCUUUGGAUGGAUAUGGAACUUACCCAUUCCUCCAGAAUCAAAUACUUCAUUUGACUAUUUAAACAUAAUACACUACCAACUUUGAAACAUCUUCAGUAUCUUAAUAGCAUCACAAAUGGGACAUGCACUUACUGUAUCCAAGAGGAGGAAUCAAACAAUCACCUUUUUUUUGGAAUGCCCAAACGCAAAAUCAUACUAGAAAAAAUAGGAAUGGAACAACAUAUCCUUGAGUUGACUAACUACAAUACUCCGAAUGGAUAGCUCAAACCCUUAAUUAAUUACGACCUAAAAAAAUUCCCUCACAAAGUUAAUCCAAGGACUUAUUUGUCACUAAGUCUAUGGAACAUCUGAAUCACUAGAAACAAAAAUGAAUAUCAACACGACAACCACAACGUCGUGUCAAGGUACCUUUCAGAUGAAUAUCACCUAAACCUAACAUAUAUACAAACUUAAUACGAAUGGGGCAUGAAAUUCUACUAAUAAAAAUAGAAUUGGAGGAAUAAUUAGAAACCACAAUGGGAAACGGAUAAAAGAUUUUUCAGGAAACAUACCCCAACAAUCCAUUAUGACAACUGAAUUAUAUGCAUGACUACAGGGGCUUAUACUAGCCAAAUGGAAUAACCUCGUCCUAAUCCAAGUGGAAUUUGACGCCAAAGAGGUAUCAUAUUACUGUAUGGGGAUAAUUUACAUUUUGCUAAUCUAUUAUUCCCUCCAGUUCAUAAUAAGUGUCCAAUGUGUUUUUAGCACGUCCAUUAAGAAAAUACUAAAUUUUAUGUAAAAAUACAUAAUAUAACUAAACUACCUCUAAUUAAACAUUUAAUGUGAGGAGUAAGAAAUCUUUUAAGGGAUAUGGACAUAAGGAUUAUUUUGUAAAAAUAAAUUAAAUUUUUUUAUAUUACAUAACCAGACACUUAUUUUGAACUAAAAUAAGAAAAUAAUUUGGACAAUUAUUAUAAAUCAGAGGAACUACAUGACUGCAAGCACCUUCUCUGAUGCUUCAUGAUCCAACAGUUAACCAUGCAUACAGAGAACAAAAUAUAUUAGCAGAUAAACUAGCAAGAUCGGGAAGUUUUUCGGAAGGAUGCUAUAACCUCCAGGUUUUUUAUCAACCGCCACCUUUUGCAACAGAAUAUUAUUUGAUCAAAAUGAUCUGAAUGUUAUUUUUAAUUGUUUACUUCGUACUAGGUGGCCAGUUUAGAUUUUCAUAUCACCGGUCGAAUUUUGGAAAAUGUUGCCAAUGUGUAAAUAUAAUGCCACAAUGCCGCCAUCCAAUUUCGCUAAGGUUGAUAAGAAUGAACAUUGGACCUAACUCAAGCCCAAAAGCUAGCUUAUGAGGUAAGGAUUGCCAAGUCAUAUAAGGAGACCAAGGACCUCAAAUCCCUCCGAUUGUUGAGAUAAGAGAUGCUACAUGAUUUAGCUUUGUAUGUACUUGUACAUUUUGUGUAUACUCAGAGUAUAUUGUAGGUAUAUUUUCGGUAUAUUUCCAGCAUUGGGUUGUAACUGGGCUGUGGUGAUUUGUGUGUCUGAGCCCAAUGUCCAUUAUUUAAUUUUGGGCCGGAUCACCCGAUCCAACCCAUCCGUGUGUAAUAAGUAUAUAUGUAGGUGAGAUAUUUUCUUACCUACCGAGACUCAUUUUCUUCCAUUCAUUUUCUGUAAUAUACUUCUCUCACCUUCAAGAGAAUUCUAAAGGCUCUGCCUUCUCUCUACUUUCUCUCUCUAGAUUUUCUAUGAUUUCUCGGUCUAAUAUGAAUGUUUACAUGGUAUCAGAGCCUCGACGACGAUCCGUGAGUCUUUCAUCGUGAUAUCGGAGUGUAUUUUCUUCUCCUGAACGUUCUGGAAGGUUUUAUGAUGAUUUUUGGUUGAUUUUUGGGUGACCUAUUGGCUUCUAGGGUUUCUGGUAGUUUAACCUAAAGUUUUACUGCCAUCCGGUGACUCGAUUCUCACUUAGUGGACGUUUUGGGUUCCUCUCUGACGUUCCUGACCACAUUUCCAGUAUGGUUUUCCAAGGUUACACCUAGAGUUUGAUACCUAGGGUUUCUCUGUUGUUUGAAGGCUGAUCUUCUCCGGUCGCGAAGAAGGAGGGUAACUCUGUCCUUAUCUUCGGUACUGUAUGUGAUUAUUUGACUGUGUAUAUGUGAGCAUCUGGUGUUGUCUGUGAAUACCUGAUUUGUUUAUACUCUGUUUGUUGGUUAUUGUGUGGGAAUACCUGUUUUGGUUAUACUGUGUUUGCUGAAAAAUUGUUCCUUUAAGCCGGUUCAUUGACUAUGGCUUCUAACACAAAUACUGGUGCCUCCUCUUCUGUAGACUCUUCCAGUCCCCUUUUUGUAUAUUCUUGAAGAAGGAGGGUAACUCUGUCCUUAUCUUCGGUACUGUAUGUGAUUAUUUGACUGUGUAUAUGUGAGCAUCUGGUGUUGUCUGUGAAUACCUGAUUUGUUUAUACUCUGUUUGUUGGUUAUUGUGUGGGAAUACCUGUUUUGGUUAUACUGUGUUUGCUGAAAAAUUGUUCCUUUAAGCCGGUUCAUUGACUAUGGCUUCUAACACAAAUACUGGUGCCUCCUCUUCUGUAGACUCUUCCAGUCCCUUUUUGUAUAUUCUUCUGAUGUUCCUGGGGUAUGUCUCGUUUCCACUCCCUUCUCGGGUAGUGGUUAUGGGGGCUGGAGACGUAAAAUGAUUGUUGCCCUAUCAGNNNNNNNNNNNNNNNNNNNNNNNNNNNNNNNNNNNNNNNNNNNNNNNNNNNNNNNNNNNNNNNNNNNNNNNNNNNNNNNNNNNNNNNNNNNNNNNNNNNNNNNNNNNNNNNNNNNNNNNNNNNNNNNNNNNNNNNNNNNNNNNNNNNNNNNNNNNNNNNNNNNNNNNNNNNNNNNNNNNNNNNNNNNNNCUCCCCUGCAAUUGCUGAGUCUGUGCAGUACUCUGACACUGCACAGAGCAUAUGGUCCCAACUCCAGGCCAGAUAUGGCACUGCAAAUAGGACCGAAAUCUUUGAACUGAAAAGAGAGUUGUCCCACACCUCUCAAGGGUCCUUAGAUAUAGCUUCCUAUAUUAAUAAGCUAAAAGGUCUGUGGGAUGAACUUGAUUCUAUGUGUGCUAAUUAUGGUCAAAGGUGUGUAUGUGCUGCAAAAGAUGGUAUAGUUUAGGAAUGUGAUGAUAAUAAGGUCUUUCAGUUUUUAAUGGGUCUGAAUGAAGCUUAUACGGGGGUCAGGAGUAAUCUUUUGAUGAUGCAGCCUCCUCCUUCUCUUGACAAUGUCUAUAAUAUGGUCCUCAAUGAUGAGAAACAAAGACAAGUUCAGUCUUAAGAAAUCUGGACACUUAAUUGAUAAGUGCUUCAAGAUCCAUGGGUAUCCACAAAGUACCACCUUUAACAAGGGAAGGAGACCUGUUGCUGCUCAUCUGACUACUGGUCUGGAUUCUCCUAUUUCUGAUGGGCUGUUGUCUUUUCCUCAAGGCAAUCCUCCUGCUAGCCAUCACUCUGUUGCAAGAAUAUAUGGCCAGAGCUCUAUGAUAUCAGGGUUGAGCAGACAAGAUUAUGACCAGUUGAUGAACUUGUUACACCAGACCAAGUUAGGGGAAUCCACUGCUCAAACUCCUCCUCCCAUCUAUGCUGCAAACUUUGCUGGUACUUUGCUAACUGAGAACCCUAUAUCUGAUUCCAAACUUUGUUUGCUUACUCAUAUUAAUUCUGUCACUUGGAUUAUAGAUUCAGGUGCCUCUAAUCACAUGACACAUGAUAAACAACUACUUUUUAACAUCNNNNNNNNNNNNNNNNNNNNNNNNNNNNNNNNNNNNNNNNNNNNNAAGCUGCUGGCCUAUAUAAAUUGGCUUGGGUCCCUCCUUCACCUUCUCCCUCUGUUAGCUGUUCCUCUACAUCUGUUUGUCCUGUAUCUGCUUCUUGUAAUGAUAGCAAAGUUGUUUCAUUGCCUUCUUUGUCUGUUUCUUGUAAUGAUGACAUCUUGUCUGAUAAUAAUACUGUUCCUUUGCCUUCAUAUGUGAAUAGUUCCACUUGUAAUAAUGAUUUUGCAUCUGAUAUGAAUUACAUUUGGCACUUAANNNNNNNNNNNNNNNNNNNNNNNNNNNNNNNNNNNNNNNNNNNNNNNNNNNNNNNNNNNNNNNNNNNNNNNNNNNNNNNNNNNNNNNNNNNNNNNNNNNNNNNNNNNNNNNNNNNNNNNNNNNNNNNNNNNNNNNNNNNNNNNNNNNNNNNNNNNNNNNNNNNNNNNNNNNNNNNNNNNNNNNNNNNNNNNNNNNNNNNNNNNNNNNNNNNNNNNNNNNNNNNNNNNNNNNNNNNNNNNNNNNNNNNNNNNNNNNNNNNNNNNNNNNNNNNNNNNNNNNNNNNNNNNNNNNNNNNNNNNNNNNNNNNNNNNNNNNNNNNNNNNNNNNNNNNNGCAAUGCUUUUACUAUGCUUAAGUCAUUUCUUUCUCUGGUCAGAACCCAAUUUAAUGCUGUGGUUUAGACUAUUAGAAGUGACAAUGCUUUGGAAUUGGGGUCUAGCAAUUAGGGUAUUUCUUUCUUUAGCAGCCAGGGGAUCAUACAUCAAACCUCCUGUCCUCGCACCCCUCAACAGAAUGGUGUUGUUGAGAGAAAACAUAGAACUCUCCUUGAAACCUGUAGGGCAUUGCUUUUCCAAUCUGGCUUGCCAGUAUCUUUCUGGGGGGAUUGCUUGUUGACUGCUACCUAUCUCCAUAACAGAAUACCCACCAGAUUGCUUCAUAAUAAGUCUCCUCAUGAAAUUUUGUAUGGGAAAAUUCUAACCUAUACUCACUUGAGGACUGCUACCUAUCUCUUUAGCAGAAUACCCACCAGAUUGCUUCAUAAUAAGUUUCCUCAUGAAAUUUUGUAUGGGAAAAUUCCAACCUAUACUGACUUGAGGAUUUUUGGUUGCGUUGCCUAUGCCACUGUUCCCAUCCCUCAAAGGGACAAGUUAAAGCCCAGAGCCAUCCCUUGUGUUUUCCUGGGUUAUCCUUUUGGAGAAAAGGGUUAUCAACUAUAUGAUCUUGCAUCUAAGAAGUAUUUGGUCUCCAGGGAUGUUCUCUUUCAUGAAUCAUGUUUUCCUUUUAAAUCUAUGCCUUCUUCUACUCAUCCUCCUGCUUCUCCUCUGGUCUCCAGGGAUGUUCUCUUUCAUGAAUAAUGUUUUCCUUUUAAAUCUAUGCCUCCUUCUACUCAUCCUCCUCUUCUCCUUAUCCCUUUUUUCCAUCUGGAGAAUAUGAUGAUGCCUCUGAUUCUCCCAUUCCCCCUCUCCUCCCUCUUCUCCCUCAUCUGUGCAGAUUCCUUUUCUUGUCCCUGUCACUGUCCUCAGUGCUUCAGUCUUCCCUUCUCCUUUCAAUCCUGCUGAUUCACCUCCUGUUUUAGCUUCUUCUCUCUAUAUUCCUGCUCCCAGAAAGUCUCAAAGACAUCAUAAUCCUCCUUCCUAUCUUAAGGAUUAUGUCUGUCAACUCCCUGCCUUCUCUGGCUCAUCUUCCUCCUCUUUGGAAUCUGAGCCUCUCUAUUAUUCUCAGGCUGCAUCUGUUCCAGCAUGGCAAACUGCCAUGAGACUGGAGUUUGAAGCUUUGGACACUAACCAUACUUGGGAUGUUAUCCCUCUUCCUCCUAGUAAGAAACCCAUUGGUUGCAAAUGGGUUUACAAUAUAAAAUACAAGGCUGAUGGCAGUGUUAAAAGGUAUAAAGCCAGGUUGGUUAUUAGGGGUGACACACAGGUUGAGGGGAUUGAUUUUACAAAAACUUUCUCUCCAGUGAUUAAAAUGACUUCUGUGAAGUGCCUUAUUGCUGUGGCUGUCAAGANNNNNNNNNNNNNNNNNNNNNNNNNNNNNNNNNNNNNNNNNNNNNNNNNNNNNNNNNNNNNNNNNNNNNNNNNNNNNNNNNNNNNNNNNNNCAUUGGCCUCUUUUUCAGCUUGAUGUCAAUAAUGCCUUUCUUCAUGGUGAUUUGGAUGAGGAUGUUUACAUGAAACUUCCUCCAGGUUUGACAGUCUCUUCUUCUACGUCUGGUUCUGUUUCUUCCCCUUCUUCUCCUUCUUCUCCUCUGGACUGUAAACUCAAGAAAUCCUUGUAUGGGCUGAGACAAGCAUCCAGACAAUGGUAUGUGUCUUCUGCUCUUUAUUCCAGAGGGUAUAAACAUUCUUUGAAUGACUACUCCUUGUUCAUCANNNNNNNNNNNNNNNNNNNNNNNNNNNNNNNNNNNNNNNNNNNNNNNNNNNNNNNNNNNNNNNNNNNNNNNNNNNNNNNNNNNNNNNUUCUUUGAAUGACUACUCCUCGUUCAUCAAAGGUAAGCCCGGCUCCUUUGUGGUGGUAGCUGUCUAUGUGGAUGACAUAAUACUUACUGGGGAUGACAGGGAUGAACUGACUGCUCUGAAACUGCUUCCGGACGCACAAUUUAAAAUCAAGGAUUUGAGGUCCUUGCAUUUUUUUUUGGGCCUUGAAAUGUCUGUUGUCCCUGGUGGGAUGCACCUUAAUCAGCACAAGUAUAUCUCUGAUUCGGUGCAUCAGUUUGACUAUGUCAAUGUUUCUUCUGUUGUGUCCCCUUUGGACAUCAAUGUCAAACUUCAUGCUAAUUCUGGUGACCUCUUGCCCUCUCCUGACCAGUACAGGAGUCUAGUUGGCAAGAUGAUCUUCCUCACUCAUACUAGGCUUGACAUUUGUUUUGCAGUCCAGCAUCUGAGUCAAUUUCUCAAAUCCCCCAGACUUCCCCAUAUGAACCAAAAGUAGAACUGGUGGUCAAUGUCUCUUCUGUUGUGUCCCCUUUGGACAUCAAUGUAAAACUUCAUGUUGAUUCUGGUGACCUCUUUCCCUCUCCUGACAAGUACAGGAGUCUAGUUGGCAAGAUGCUCUUCCUGACUCAUACUAGGCUUGACAUUUGUUUUGCAGUCCAGCAUCUGAGUCAAUUUCUCAAAUCGCCCAGACUUCCCCAUAUGACUGGUGCUCUGCAUGUUCUGAGAUACCUUAAAGGCACUCCAUCCUUGGGUUUAUUUUACUCUGAUCAUGCUGAUGUUUCUGUUACUGGGUAUUCUGAUAGUGACUGGGCUGCUUGCCCUGAUACUAGACGCUCUGUUACUGGAUUUUGUGUGCUUUUGGGUGGCUGUUUGAUUAGUUGGAAAUCGAAGAAACAGCCUGUUGUUUCUCUUUCGUCUGUUAAGGCAGAAAACCGAGCCCUUAGCAAGGUUGUUGCUGAAUUGACUUGGCUUUCUCGCUUGUUGGUUGAUCUUGGGGUCUCUGUUUCCUCUCCUAUUUCUGUAUAUUGUGAUAGUCUGGCUGCUUUUCAUAUUGCUAACAAUCCUAUUUUUCAUGAACGUACCAAAUAUAUCGAGGUGGAUUGCCAUUUUGUUCGGGACUUGCUACUUUCUGGUUUUCUCAAGUUGCUUCAUGUGCCUACUUCUCGUCAGCUGGCCGACUUGCUCACUAAGCCCCUGCCUGGCACUUUACUUCUUCCGCUGCUCANNNNNNNNNNNNNNNNNNNNUUCACCAAGCCCCUGCCUGGCACUUUACUUCUUCCGCUGCUCACCAAGUUGCAGGUGGUUCCCCCCUCCAACUUGAGGGGGAGUGUUGAGAUAAGAGAUGCUACAUGAUUUAGCUUUGUAUAUAUUUGUACAUUUUGUGUAUACUCAGUGUAUAUUGUAGGUAUAUUUUCGGUAUAUUUCCGGCAUUGGGUUGUAACUGGGCUGUGAUGAUUUGUGUGUCUGAGCCCAAUGUCCAUUAUUUAAUUUUGGGCCGAAUCACUCGAUCCGACCCGUCCGUGUGUAAUAAGUAUAUAUGUAGGUGAGAUAUUUUCUCACCUACCGAGACUCAUUUUCUUACAUUCAUUUUCUGUAAUAUACUUCUCUCACCUUCCAGAGAAUUCUAAAGGCUCUGCCUUCUCUCUACUUUCUCUCUCUAGAUUUUCUAUGAUUUCUCGGUCUAAUAUGAAUGUUUACACCGAUGUGGGACAAUUCAACACCCCUCCCCCCUUCACGCCCAGAUCUCUGGAGCGUGGAAAACAUUAAUGGGGCCUAACAUCGGUAACAAUAAUUUGGAUGGGCCUGACUUUGAUACCAUGAUAAAAAUGGACCUUGGUACUAACUCAACCCCAAAAGCUAGCUUAUGAGGUGAGGAUUGCCCAAGCCAUAUAAGGAGACCAAGGACCUCAAAUCCCUCCGAUGUGGGACAACUCAACAAAGGUCUCUUUUUUAAAUAGAAAAGAUCUAAGCAACUCAGUGUAUUGGAUGGAUCUCGCGGUAACACAUUACCCUGAGAGAUUGAAUAUUUCAUCAGUUUCAGUGUAUGUGAACCUAUUUUCUUUUUAGCCUGUUCCAAAAAGAAUGAUUCUUUUUAAAUUUGAAAAGUUUUUAACGUAAACUUAAAAUUCUACUCUUAACGAGAAGCUUUUAUAACUAUAUAACCAACUCAUUCAAUUUUUUUACUCAAAGUUGUUGUAUCACUGCAAGGCUUUCUUUCUUGAUCAAAAUAGGCAUUGAGGCUCACGGCGAUCACCAAUAUAAAAAAAGUUAUUUUAUACUUGCUUAUUUUUAUCAAGUUACUCAUGGCAUUACUAGCUUGAUUCCCCCACAUCUUGUUCAAUCGAACUUUGAUUUUAACCUAUUGUUAGUGACCUCAUUACAAAUAAUUUAAUUAUUCCUGAAACUAUAUUUCUAUUAAACACUCAUGUUGUUUGCAGUAUGGCUAGGAGGAUUUUCGUUUUUUUUUUCUACCAGUGGCAUAUAGAGAAUGUUAUCCAAACAAAGUCAUGGUAUUUAAAUUAUGGAUUGUUGCAUGUGCCAAUAAAGUAUACAGCCCUUUCAAUACGUUUAGAGAAAUUCAAAAAGUUGACCAUGUGUCUGCAUAUUUUAAACUAAAUGAUUCCUCCUUUUGCCUCUUUCUAUAUACGCACAGAUACAUUUAUUGGUUAUGGAAAUAAUUAAAAACAGUAGAUGAAAGAGGAAAGUAAUCAAAACCUUAAGAAAACAAACAAUUGCCGGAAGACAGCAGUCGAUAAUUGUUUACGACUUUCCGUACUUUACUAGUUAUACUCGAACAGGAUUUGCACGUGAAACUUAAUGAUGAGCAAUUAGUUCAUCUUAAAUUUUUUAUGUAUAUGCCUGUACUUUAAAAUUGUAAAAUACAUAGGUCGUUUCUUUUUUAAAAGGAUUGCGAAGUAAAAGUGAACAAUUGAAAGUGAACAAAAGAAAUAAUAAUUAAGUUAUGUGCUCAAUCUAUAAGCUAUUACGCACUCUUUCAACAAUUCUUUCCCAGCGCACUCUAGACCUUUCUAAGUUAGGGAGAUUCCUUUCUCUCUUCCAGAAGUACUUUUUGAAUAAUUUACCUCAAGCACUAAAUCUGUAUGCCUGAGAAUCAUUUGGGCUUCAUUCCCUAAAAUUGGAUGCAGAAUUGUUAGUGCUUGAAACUUCUAGUCGGCAUGGUGAAAAAAGAAAAAUUUAAAGUCGACAUAGCCCAAAUCUCCCAUUAAUGAGUCUCACAGGUUCUUUUCAAAUUUAUGCCCAAAUAUUGUAAAAAUAGUGUGGGUCAGCCAGUUUUUGGAUUGAUCAUUCAAAAAUAGUCUGUAUUUAUAAUAUUAUUGAAAAAUAGCUACUAUUUUACUGCCAUAGAGACUGAUCUAAUAUAAUAUACUGGAGAUCGAUGUACCUGUGUAUGAACUUCCAACAUAUUAUGCUGGAAAACACCCGAAAUGUUUCAGCAUAAUAUACUGUAGAUUGGAGCACAUGUGCAUGAACUUCCAGCAUAUUAUGCUGGACCGAUAUAUUAUAUUGGAACUUUAGUAUAUUAUGUUGGAGUUACAGUAUACUUAUGUUGUAACUACAUUAUAAUAUGCUAGAGUUCCAGUAUACUUAUGUUGGAACUCCAGUAUAUUAUGCUGGAGUAUUUUUUGGAUUUUUUAACAGUAUUUUCGUUCAUAUUUAUUUUUACAUGAAAAAUGAAGAAAUUUCGAUUACUUUUGAAACUGUGGCUAUUUUAGAAUGGCCACUUGCAGAUCAGGCUAUUUUUGAAUUUCUUUUCCAAAAAUUAUGUACAUAAGUGACUUAGGCUAUGCUUUUAAAUAAGGAAAUUUCAUCUCCCAUAGCAAACUAUUACACCAUGUUUAUUAUAAAUCAAACCAUUUCAAAAUAUUACUCCCUCCAUUUCAGUUUAUGUGAACCUAUUUCCUUUUAUGUCCAUUCCAAAAAGAAUGACUUCUUUCUAAGUUUGGAAAUAAUUUAGCUUAAACUUACAACGUUACUCUUAAUGAAAAGAAUUUAUAACCGCACAAAAGCUCUUGGACUCCUUUUGAAUUGUUUAGGACCAUAAAUUCUAAAAUUCUUCAUUUUUUCUCAAACUCCGUACCCAGUAAAAAAAGAUUCAUAUAAAUUGGAACGGAGAGAGUAUUAUUAUAGCUACUUUUUCUACUUUCGAGUAAAAUUUAUUUUUAUUUUAUACCCUACAAUUGAGUCAUGAAAUACGUCAAUUAUGUUCUUUCUCUCUCCCUUGCUUCUCUCUCCAUCAGCAAAGUUCUCAAUCCUCUCUCUUCUCUCACAAAUCAGUAGAAUCGUCGGUGUCAUCUGGAGAUUCGAUAUCUCUAGUGAAUCGGAGAAGUAGGUAGCGGCGGAGCUGCGAUAGAAGAGUGAUGAUUUUGGUUCAGAGAUAUUUGGGUAGUAAGGAUCAUAUGCUGCUGAAAUAUAAUUUGGCUUGGUCUUGGGAAUAUUCAAACUAAAAUGUUAUAAGUUAUGUGUGUUAUUAAUAAUUUUAGCAGAAGGAGCAUUACUCCAAUCAACAGAUAUUAUAGGGUCAUGGCUACGCCAUAGAAGAUUUUUCAUGGCUACGCUGGAGAAGAUUUCAAGGCUUGCUUUUUGUUCAUCUCCAUUUUUAGUUUUAAUACGAUGUAUACAAUUAGAAAAUGCAAUUAUCGGCGAACAUUUUUCUCUUCUUUGCUAUUUAGUCACAUAAAAUACUACAAAUACAUUGUAUUAUGUAAAUAUAUACUCAAAUACAUUGUAUUUUUGUAUAAACAUAUUAUAUAUUUUCUUAUUUUUAUGUAUUCCGAAGGUCUGUAUUUUUGGAAUACAACCGAAUAUCACUAUAUUUUAUAUUUUUUGUUGUUUGAAUAUAGUCAAUUAAAAUAUGCUAAAUUGGAAUUCAAGGUAUAAUAUUGAAUAAUGAAUAGCUAUGAAUUGAAUAUAAUGUAUAUAGUCGAAUUGAAUAGAACGGUAUAUACCUUAUUUCUUGAUUAUUCUAACGACCCGACUGGUCGUUUCAAGAGUUAUAGCCUCGUUCCUCUAUUUCUUGCAUCUUUUGUGUUCUACAGCUGCAUUUUAGCUUACUAGGUUAGUUGCUUAGGUCCGGAGUGACAUUGGAGUGAAUUGAGACACUUAGUAUCUUAUUUGAAGUUUAAGUUGGAAAAGCCGACCGGAUGUUGACUUAUGUAUAAACUACAUCAGAUUUCAAUUUUGAUGGUUCCGUUAGCCGCUAGGUGAUUUUGGACUUAGGAGCACGUCUGAAAUGUGAUUUAGAGGUUCCUAGUGGAAUUAUGCUUGAAUUGGCGAAAGUUGAAAUUUUGGCGAAUUUGACCGGUAAAAAAUUUUAUAUCAGGGUCGGAUUUUAUUUUUGGAAGUUGGAGUAGUGCAUGGUGUUAUUUAUGACAUAUUUGCAAAGUUUGAGUCCAAUCGUAUGUAAUUUGAUAGGUUUCAGCAUCGUUUGUAGAUUUUGAAAAUUUCAAAGUUUAUUAGGCUUAAAUUCAUGUGCAAUUCGUAUUUUUGAUGUUUUUAGGUGAUUUUAAGAUUUGACUGAGUUUGUAUAAUGUUAUGAGACGUAUUUCUAUGUUUGGUUGAGGACCUGGUUCAGGAUCAGAUCCAAGUUGUGGAUGAGCCAGCGGGACCGGCUUAGACACCAACUGUGCCCAUUGUCAUUCCAGGCCUUCAGGAGGCCUUGACUCAGUUCUUUACCGAGUGAACUAGAGUUGCUCAAGCGCUCUAUUCUGACUGCAGCAGCCAAUUCUCAGGUGAGAGGAGGUUCUCAGACUCUCGUCGCCCGGACACCUGAGCAGAUAAUGCAGGAACUCCAGACACUAAGGGUACCACCAGCCCGGCUGGUUGCAGCUACUCAGGACUAUGUAGUUCCAGUCAUGCCUGAUAAUGAGAAGUGUAGAUUGGAGAGCUUUGGGAGGCUACAGCCUCUGUCUUUCAGCAGUGUAAAAGGCGAGGAUUCCAGGGUUUCUUAGACAAAUGUUAGAGGGUCCUCUGUAUAGCAUGUAUUUUAGAGACCAGUAGGGUCUCACUCAUUACUUUUCCGUUCAUUGGAGGUGCCUUCACUUGGUGGGAGGCUUAUGAGAGGCCUAGGCCAUUUGGUGUAGCACAACUUUCAUGAAAACGGUUUUCCAUUAUCUUCUUGGAGAAGUAUGUGUCACAGUCUUGCUAAGAGGGUCUGGGUAGACAAUUCGAGCAGUUGUGUCAGGAUGAUAUGACUAUGACAAAAUAUGAGUUGAGUUUUUCUGAGUUGGCCUGUCAUGCAGUUGUGUCAGGAUGAUAUGACUAGUAUAACUCAAUUAAGGAAAAACAAUAUAUUAUUUAGUAAGAGUCAUGAUUUACAAUAAAUAGUACGUGUACGCACUCGUCACCUUACAUACAUGAUGCUUACAUAUCACAAAAGUACCAAAUCCUAAGGGGAGUUUCCCCACACAAGGUUACGCAAGCCAUUUAUCUCGAACAAAGCUCAAAUCAAUCUAUAACAAUGUCUUUCCCGCGAAUAUCUGACUUUGAAUGGCCCAAAUCUAGCCAAAAGCAAUUACAUAUCGUAAAUACAACUAUAAUAGACUAAUCUAAUUAAUGAAAUUAAGACUUUAACAAGAAAUUUGAAAAUAGCCCAAAAAUGCCUCUCCGCGUCAACGUCUCAGAAUUGCAUAAAAGUCACAAAAUAUAAAUACUCAUUCACUCACGAGAUCACUCAUACCAAAAUUAUCAAAACCCAAAAAUAAUGGUUGAAGAACUUCCCCAUUUUCCCCUAAUUUUCCAACUCAAAGCCGAAAUUAAAGGUGGAAAUAAUGAUAGAUUAGUGGGGUAUAACUAAAAUCAAUUUAAGAAUCAUUACGCAAUGGAUGUCUCUGAAAAUCCUCAAAAUCUCGCCCAAAUCCGAGCUCACAAACUCAAGUUUUGAUAAAAAUGGCCAAACCCUCGUUUUUCAUAUAUAAAUCUACAGCACAGGUAACUCUUUUUUUGCGAGCGCGGAACUAUCCUCGUGUUUGAGAAGGAUAAAAAUACUUUAGUCCAAAAACCUCAUUCGCAAACGCGAUGGUCCAAUCACGAACGUAGAGCUUACACAGCCAGACCCAGCGUGAAUGCGGGACCCUCAUCGUGAACGCGUAGGCUAAUUCGCCUGGAGCUCCAUCUGACCGUUCCUCUACGUGAACGCGAGGUCCAUAUUGCAAAAGUGUAGUCUUAAUCUUCCAUAUCUUCGCGAACGCGAAGAAAAAAUUUAGGUUUCCUCCUAAAUACUAUACGCGAAUGCAAGACCUCUGUCGCGAAUGAGAUGAAGGAAAUCAGCGACAACACCAGAACAUCUGAUGUCUUUCACAAGUCCAAAUUUAUUCGUUAACCACCCGAAAUCAACCCAAGGUCCCUGAUACCUCAACAAAACAUACCUACCAAUUCUAAAACACCACACGAAUUUAGUCGAUCCUCCAAAUCACAUCAAACAAUGCUAAAAGCGUGAGUCAGCCUCCAAUUCAAACUUAAUGAACUUGAAACUUCAAAUUUCUACAACCGAUGUUGAAACAUAUCAAACCACGUCCGAUUGACCUCAAAUUUUGCACACAAGUCAUAUUCGACAUUAUAUACCUACUUCAACUUCCGGAAUAGGAAUUCGACCAUGAUAUCAAAAAGUCCACUACUGGUUAAAAUCUCCAAAAUAUGAAUUUCUCUAUUUCAAGCCUAAAUCACAUAUAGACCUCCAAAACACAAUCCGGACACGCCCCUAAGUCCAAAAUUAUCCAGCGGAGCUAACGGAACCGAUCAAACUCCAUUCCGAAGUGGUCAUCAUAUAGUUCCAACUACAGUCAAAAUCCUUAGGCUUAAGCUUCCCUUUAGAGACUAAGUGUCACAAAACACUCCGAAACCAAAACAAAACCUUCGGGCAAGUCACAUAAGCAUAAACAGAUACGGGAAAAGAAGUAAAUAGGGAAUCGAGGCUAUAACUCUCAUAAAGACCGAUCGAGUCGUUACACAUUGACCCAACCCACAGGGCAGGUUGGGCGGGUUACAUAUUUUUAGGUCUAUGCCACCUCUACGCACUGCAUUUGAUUUGGAUUCUCUGUAUUUGCAUCAAUGCAUGUCUCACACAAGAUGACUAAAGAAUAAGCUAGAGUGUGAUAAAAACAAGACAGAGAAGCAGCAGCGCUAUCUAUUCCCAUAUCAAUAAUUGAAAUGUUACUAUGCUAGUAGUCGUCAAUACCGGUAGGAAAAUGAUAUUUGACAAUUGAGCGCAAAAGGUGAGGCAGAGCCUCAAAUUCUAGGCAACGUGCCCAGCUUAAAACCCUCAUAAACUUUCCUUCUAUGUUGUAUAAAUGAUGUUUUCCAUCUUUUAUAACUAAUUAAGGUAGGAAAAUGAUAUUUGACAAUUAGGCGCAAAAGGUGAGGCAGAGCCUCAAAUUCUAGGCAAUGUGCCAGCGUAAAAACCUCAUAAACUUUCCUUCUAUAUUGUAUAAAUGACGUUUUCCAUCUUUUAUAACUAAUUAAAUGCAGAGCACGUCUACUAUUUCUUUUUUGUUAACAGAGAGUUGAAUAAAAGUGAGAAAUUAGACAAGGCUCUUAGAAAAAGCAUCAGUGGUUGGUGCCCAGAGGUAAGAAUUUUCAAUGGCUCCGAAAAUUAAAAUAAUAAGCUUAAAUAUUUCCUUCGAAAAUGCUACCAUGAUAGAUUAACUACAAAAACCUUCUUGAAUCACAUUGGAGUAGACACUUCCUUGUAGUAUGCUUUACCCUAGAGGAAACAUCUCUACAUAUUUUCCUAUUAUGCCCAAUAGCAGAGCAGUUAUAGGAAGCCUGGGUGUGAGCAUUCAAUUAGUUGACACCCUUUUUAUACCCACUAGCUAGAUAGUCUAUACAAACAAAAAUCUCACACCAUAUGCUCUUCCUUGGAGUGGGAUUGUCUAUUCUCUUUCAGUCUCUGGCUUCUACGGCUUAAUAGAAAUAAAAUACCUUCCACAAUCUUUGUAAAUCAGUGGAUAGUAAUCAUGUUAUAUCAAGAGCCAUGGAGUAGUUGCAUUGCAAUAAUAUCAACUGCAACAAACUUGAUAGACCCUUGCCAGUUGCUACUAAAUGGGAACCCCCUACUAUACAUCAAUUGAAACUCAAUAUAGAUGGAGAUCUUAAGAGUAGAUUCGAGCUAGGUGGAAUAGGUGAGGUGUUCAAAGACUCGACUAGGGACUAGAUUAUGGGAUUUAGAGCCUGUUUGGAUUGGCUUAAAAGCUGGGCCAUUUUUAGAUGUUGAGAGUGUUUGGCAAAAUAGAAAACAACUUUAAAAAAAUUUAAAGCUGGCUUAAAAAAAGUCACAAGUUGGAUGAUCCCAACUUCUUUUUUUAAGCUUAAAAGUCAACUAUCUUUGGCCAAAUAUUUUACCCUCUUAUCCCUAAUAAUAUUUAUUAUUCCAAAAAUGUCUUUCACAACAAAAUCUCAAUUUAACUCUAUUCUUUCCGGUUAUCUAUUCAUGUGACUUCCUACCUUAUUUCUUCAUUUUGCUCUUUUUCUUUCUGGUUCUUCUCCAAUUGGUAACACUUGAUUUGAUUCACAUUUUGAGUUUUUACUUCAUUUUGUUUGUCCAACGCCACUCAUUUAGCUGGGACUAUCUAAAGUAUUUCCCAAUUGUUUUAUUUUCAUUUCAUAUUUUCUUAUAUCAAUAAUCAUACAAUUCACAUAUUUCCAGUAAGCUUGGAAUUUCAAGAAAUAAAUAAAAAUUUACAUUAUUGAAAGAAGUGAAAAAUAAGAGUUCAGGUGAUCAGUUUAAAUAUUAAUUAUUUCGUAUUUAUAUUAAUAAGUUUAAAAUAAAAUAUUAUAAUAAUAAGCUUCUUUAUAGUAUUAACAUCUUCAAGGAUAUUUCAAUCAUGUUAAUUGAAAAAGUGCUUACUAGCACUUGUUUAUCAAAUAUUCAACAGCUUUAUUCAGCUCCAACACUUUUAUCCAAACACAUAACUGCUUAUUUAUAAAACCAGCUCCAGUACUUAAAAAGUGUUUUUAAGCACUUGUGCUUAAAUGCUACUUUUUUUAAGUCAAUCCAAAUGGGCUCUUAGUAAAACAACUACGGUUCCCUCUCCUCUAUACAUUGAGCUUGAGGCAUAAUGCCAAAGCCUAGAACUAGCAAUAACUUACCAGUUCAGAAAUUUGCAAAUAGAGACAGACUCUGCCUCUAUACCAUCACUAAUUGAAUCAAAUUACUCACCACUCUAUAAUUCCCUUCUUUGUAAAUGGGGGUACUAGCUGAAGAUAUUGCGGAAUACACCCAUCCUAUGCAAUUUCAAGGAAGGCAACAACAGAGGGCAUGAUCUGGCGCAGCAGGGAAUGCAGUAAGCCAAUGUUAAUCAUAACCACAUAUAUCUAGAAGUACCUGACUACCUUAAAGAAGUUGUGCGAGACAAUAAAGAAGUAAUCACUGUUACUAGAACUACCACUGCUAGUAGUGUUGUGUUGAAAAUUUUGGCUAUGCUGAGCAAUCCUGUAAAGAACCGGACCAUGUUACUUUGCUACUUAGUAUUAAAUAAAAGUUUAUCUUCUUUGCCAAAAAAAAAUAAAAGAAUAAAAGUGAGAAGGAUCAUAGCAUGCUUAUUGAAUCCUUUCAACAUAUAUAGAAGCCCAAACUUAAAAUAAUAUGUCAAAAGAUAGGAAGUAUAAAAAAGUUUGAAAAUUUUAGUACUAAUUAAAUUACAAUGAAUAUUUUUGUGUAUAGUAUUUUUAAAUGAUAUUCAUGUAAUAUUGGUAUUGUUUGGUGUCAAUUGGACUUGCGUUUGAUUAAUACCAAACAAAACGUAAUUAUGAUCGAAUUUCUUAGUGCAAGUCAAAUCAAACCAUGACCGGUUGUUUUCCUUCAAUUUAGCUUGGCUUGUCGGUUCGGUCAUUUUAUUUGUACACCCCUCUAGCGACAAAUUAAUAUCUCUAGGAACUAUCUAAUCCUCGUAGUAGAUUAACUUUCAUAAAAUUAGUCAAUAAAGUUAUAUAUAUAUAUAUANNNNNNNNNNNNNNNNNNNNNNNNNNNNNNNNNNNNNNNNNNNNNNNNNNNNNNNNNNNNNNNNNNNNNNNNNNNNNNNNNNNNNNNNNNNNNNNNNNNNNNNNNNNNNNNNNNNNNNNNNNNNNNNNNNNNNNNNNNNNNNNNNNNNNNNNNNNNNNNNNNNNNNNNNNNNNNNNNNNNNNNNNNNNNNNNNNNNNNNNNNNNNNNNNNNNNNNNNNNNNNNNNNNNNNNNNNNNNNNNNNNNNNNNNNNNNNNNNNNNNNNNNNNNNNNNNNNNNNNNNNNNNNNNNNNNNNNNNNNNNNNNNNNNNNNNNNNNNNNNNNNNNNNNNNNNNNNNNNNNNNNNNNNNNUUGAUAGUUUUGGAUAUAUAUAUAUAUAUAUAUAUAUAUAUAUUCUGAUAUUUGUACUAGUCUUCUUCACCGAACUCUUCUAUCUGUAUCCUCAUAUACGAUCAUGAAGUGUCAUUGCAACGAGAUAAGCCGAAUUAGUUAAGAUACUAAACCAUAAUUUUUCCGGACUUUAUAUGAAUACAAAAUUUUUUAUGCAUCGAAUUACCCUAGUAAACCACAAUUUCAAAGAGAAAGGCCAGUUGAUGAAUAAAAGGACUGCAAGUACUUCAGUUACAAGGGAAGAACAUAAAAAGUCUCAGUACUUGAUCAAAAUUUUUGAAGAAGAAGAGAAAAAGUAGAACAAAUGUAUAUGCAUUAUCCACACCCAUUUUAACAAAGUUUUCAACGCACAAAUUACAUGAAAUCUUAUACUACAUAUCUGGCAUUACUACGUCAGCUAAGUAGUGCCUCUUAUUGAAAGAGUAGAGGUCCACUUAUUACAAAUUAUUUCAAAAGGCAUACUUACACGAUUAUUAAGAAUCAAAAUAAAAACAAAUUUCUGUCCACACCACCUAAGCAAUUGAAGUGAAGUUAAAAUUGGCACAUGUAGUUUGUCGGAAAAGAAUUGAAGAUGUGAAUCCCAAUCUUGAUCUUGCAAGAUCAAACUGCAAAAGAUUAUCCUCAAUUGUGUAUCCUCCAACUACAAUAGAAGUCCUUGGGCUUACACCUCCAUCUACAAACCCAAGGCAUAAAACAUUUUCACUCACUUGCACCAUUGAGUUUGCUCCAAAUAUCCUCCAAAACACAUUCUCAUUUUGCAAAACAAGAUCAAUGGAUGGCACAGCUGGUCCAACUCUUGUACUUGCAAUGUUUCUUGAAUCAAAACAAGCCCUAAAUGGUGCCACGGAUGCAACUCUAGUAAUGUUGACAAGUUCCUUGACAAAGAAAUUUGUAAC
RNAcentral lists this long non-coding RNA (40809 nucleotides) under Nicotiana benthamiana. RNAcentral describes it as "long non-coding RNA (NBEN_LNC006194)". Lineage: Eukaryota; Viridiplantae; Streptophyta; Magnoliopsida; Solanales; Solanaceae. The record is from RNAcentral.